GAAUGGCACCAUGGUGACAAUUGGAGCACUUAAGAUAGAGAAGGAGGAAAGAAACAGGCAGCUGGAGAAAAGACGUUGAUGGCAAUACUAUAUUCCUUUUCGAGAAGAGAAAAUCACCUUUUAUCUGUAUAGGCAAAUAUUGACUAUCAGCCAGAAAGUGGAGCCAGUGGUGGGAGUCUUCCUCACUGAGGGAAGGGAAGACACAGGAACCACUUUCUGGGUGGACUUGAUGAUCUUGCCAGUUCCAUCAGCCUUCUUGUAAACACUUCAAUGAUACCCGCAGCAACUGUCUGUCUCAUAUUACGAACAGCAAAACAACCUAGAAGGGAUAUUCAGAGAAGUUCUCAACACACAUGGCUUGCCAGGAAUGCUAUCAAUUUCGGCAGAAUCAGCAGAUUUCAAGAAUUUGAAGCCAUUAUCUGACUUCUUAUAGGAAUUGUGAUCUCUUCUUUUUCGGUUCAACAAACUUGCAAGCAAUGUGAGCCAUGUAACAAAGCCAGCAAUGAUUUACACUGGAUGGCUCAGGAUAACAACCUGACCAAUAAAACCAGCUACUUUCA
Microcebus murinus (gray mouse lemur) is the source of this 560-nucleotide non-coding RNA. Lineage: Eukaryota; Metazoa; Chordata; Mammalia; Primates; Cheirogaleidae. The record is from RefSeq and is a predicted model, not a curated record.